UUAUACUAGUUAUUCAAGCAAUUAUUCUCUCUCAAAAAAUAUAAAGUGAAAGAAGCAAGUCCUCUUUACAUAUAUGGUGAAAUAAAGAUCCUCUUAGAAAAGUCAAUAAAAAAUAGAGUGGAAGAGUACUGGGUUGCUUUGGAAUAAGAAUAGAUUGUUUAUUUGGUGGGACGUUGAAUCAUCAAUUAUUAAGACUUAAUCUUAUUUUAUACUGCAUGGUGCUGAGACUGAGGCAUCUAGUCUUUCUACUAGUGUUCUUCCUUAAUUUUUUCCUCGUUUUUUUCACUCCCUAAUAUGAUUAUCAUAUGAUUCAUCUCCGCUCAGAUUCUGCUUUCACACUUUCUAGUAGAAUCAAAGCCAAUCAUGUAAGUAUGAUUCCCCCUCAAGGGAAACUAUACCUCAUGAACUUCUCUCCACCUCUGCAAAUGACAGCUACAACAAUAAAAUUCAUGAAUUGAUUAAGUUUGGCCAUGGCAUGAAGAAUGUGGCUAGUUUGAAGAGGAUUGAAGAAGGUUUAGCACGAGCACGAUCAUUUAUCCAGGAUGCAAUUCGAUCCAAGAACUACACAACCCCAUAAAACACGGUUUUGGGAAACUUGAAUCCACAUGCUUUUCACCGGUACUAUCUAUGAAAAAUACCAAAUUACAGACAUUGGUUAAUUUCACUGCAUCAGAAUGACUCCAAAAUAUAUCGCGUACAACAUCUUCAUCCUUUAAUCUAUGUUAAUGAAUAUACUGAUCUUGUUCAAGAAGUUUCAUUAAUUGUUGUAUUUCAGUAUUAUUGUCUCUUAUAGAAGAACGAUAUGCAUA
Glycine soja is the source of this 809-nucleotide long non-coding RNA. RefSeq lists it as uncharacterized. The record is from RefSeq and is a predicted model, not a curated record. The transcript has 3 exons. NCBI's taxonomy places the organism in Eukaryota, Viridiplantae, Streptophyta, Magnoliopsida, Fabales, Fabaceae.